AUUGAACGCUGGCGGCAUGCUUUACACAUGCAAGUCGAACGGCAGCGCGGGCUUCGUCCUGGCUGCGCGUGGCGAACGGGUGAGUAAUUCAUCCGAACGUGCCCAGUAGUUGGGGAUAGCACGACGAAAGCCGGAUUAAUACCACAUACGACCUGAGGGUGAAAGCGAGGGAUCUAAAGGCCUCGAGCGAUUUGCUAUGACGAUGUCGGAUUAGCUAGUUGGUUGGGUAAAGGCUUACCAAGGCGACGAUCCGUAGCUGGUCUGAGAGGACGACCAGCCACACUGGGACUGAGACACGGCCCAGACUCCUACGGGAGGCAGCAGUGGGGAAUUUUGGACAAUGGGGGCAACCCUGAUCCAGCCAUGCCGCGUGCGGGAAGAAGGCCUUCGGGUUGUAAACCGCUUUUGUUCGGGAAGAAAUCCUCUGGGCUAAUACCCCGGGGGGAUGACGGUACCGGAAGAAUAAGCACCGGCUAACUACGUG
RNAcentral lists this ribosomal RNA (484 nucleotides) under uncultured bacterium. RNAcentral describes it as "partial 16S ribosomal RNA". It matches the Rfam family "Bacterial small subunit ribosomal RNA", at positions 30 to 507 of the family's 1533-position model. The record is from RNAcentral.